UACGAGGGGUGCAAGCGUUGCUCGGAAUUAUUGGGCGUAAAGGGCGCGUAGGUGGUUACUUAAGUUAAUUGUGAAAGUCCUGGGCUUAACCUGGGGAUUGCAGUUAAUACUGCGUAGCUAGAGUGUUGUAGAGGUAAGCGGAAUUUCCGGUGUAGCGGUGAAAUGCGUAGAUAUCGGAAGGAACAUCGAUGGCGAAGGCAGCUUUCUGGACAAAUACUGACACUGAGGCGCGAAAGCGUGGGGAGCAAACAGG
RNAcentral lists this ribosomal RNA (253 nucleotides) under uncultured bacterium. Its description in RNAcentral is "partial 16S ribosomal RNA". It matches the Rfam family "Bacterial small subunit ribosomal RNA", at positions 524 to 776 of the family's 1533-position model. The record is from RNAcentral.